This 284-nucleotide ribosomal RNA is filed under the name Salmonella enterica. Its description in RNAcentral is "partial 16S ribosomal RNA". It matches the Rfam family "Bacterial small subunit ribosomal RNA", at positions 161 to 447 of the family's 1533-position model. Lineage: Bacteria; Pseudomonadati; Pseudomonadota; Gammaproteobacteria; Enterobacterales; Enterobacteriaceae. The record is from RNAcentral. RNAcentral also lists the same sequence under 7 other names.
GGCUAAUACCGCAUAACGUCGCAAGACCAAAGAGGGGGACCUUCGGGCCUCUUGCCAUCAGAUGUGCCCAGAUGGGAUUAGCUUGUUGGUGAGGUAACGGCUCACCAAGGCGACGAUCCCUAGCUGGUCUGAGAGGAUGACCAGCCACACUGGAACUGAGACACGGUCCAGACUCCUACGGGAGGCAGCAGUGGGGAAUAUUGCACAAUGGGCGCAAGCCUGAUGCAGCCAUGCCGCGUGUAUGAAGAAGGCCUUCGGGUUGUAAAGUACUUUCAGCGGGGAGG